CAGACAGAAUUGUGAGGCUCAGGGGGAGAUGUAACGAUUACAAUGUCACAAAGGAAAUCAGCAGCAAAACAUGGGAAUACUAAGCUGGUAUUCUUACAGUUAUUUCCUACAGAGGUCUACUUCAUGUACCGUCUGUUACAUUUUGCAAACACAAUGCCUCCUAUCCCACCCCGUGUGAACGCUCUUCUUCACUUAAAGGAAGCAUUGGAAACCAGCAUCUUAAUCUGGACCAUUUGGUCAUCCUACUUCAGUGCCUUCGCUUUGAAGGCAGCAUGAGGGACACCUUCGGCAAAUACACCACAAGCAGGCCUUCCCAUUUCGGAAUUAAAACCAAACCUCUGCUAUUCGUGAACGUCACGUGGCUUUGUCUGGCACUGAGGCCUCUGAGGACUGUGGCGUCAAACCCAAGGCAAGAGCAUAAUAAUAAUGGAUGGUACUGGACAGUGCAUAGUAUUGCUGUGUAUUGGGCUCAUGAUUUGCUUUAUCCAGAUACUCACGUUCUGCAGUAAUGUUACAUUGUCAGUUAAUCUGCAGUUUGUAAUGGUAUGGUUAGAUUUUUCCUUGUACAAUACAACUUCACAUUGUAUUUGCUGAAUCUCAAUUUAUUGAUUUCAAACCCUUUCUUCCAAUAGCUCGAGAUCAGGUUGAAUAAAAAUCUUGCCUCCAGAAUGCUUACAUCCGCCUCUAAGUGGGAUGUCAUUUACAAAUGGUGUAAACGUGCUGUAUAUUCUGUUAUCCUAGUCAUUAAUGAAAAUUUUAAAGAGCGUACCUAGAAAAGCUCUUGGGGCACCCAGCUGGUAUGUUUUCUCUGUUUGACAGCAAGAUACUGAAAAAUACUUUCUUCAUCCAUUUGUGCACUCAUAGUAGCUUCACCUACCAAUGCUUCACUAGCUUGUUUCUGUGAAUAUUAUGUACAAUUGUGCAUGUAAUUCAUGUAAUGUAAUUCAUAUUAUAGCACAUCUGUUUCCCUUUUAUUCACAAGACCAUUUAUGGUGUCAAAAAGGAAGUUAAAUUAACAUGGCACGAUUUUACGCUUGACAAAAAUAUGUGGACUAUUUAUUAUCUUGCUAUUGGCUGGAUGAUCUAAGGUUGAUAGUUACUUGAACAACUCGGUAACCAUUUGGGGAUUUCAGGCUAGACCAAUCUAUAAUUCUCCUGGUCCUUUCUUUUUCCUUUAAGAAGAAAAAAAAAAAAGAAAGAAAUUUGUCCUUCUUAAGUCCUUUGAGAUCUUACUUGUUUUCCAUGAUCCAUGAGUUCUUUAAAGAUAAUCAUUUAAUGGUUCAGAUUGUUUCAGCUAUUUCCUUCAAUACUCCAGGGUAAAUUUCCUUACUGCUUGCUAACUAGAAUAUAUCUAACACAUCUGAACAUUUUAACCUAUUCUUUUCCUACUCUCUAUGCUCCAGUUUGUUAAUAAUUUUAAUUGUUCUAAGCAUCUGGUAGGAAUUAACCUUUUACUGUGAAGAUGCAAGCAAAGAAAACAUUGACUAUUUCAGCUUUUUCUUUGUCUUUUGUUAUUUCCUCAUCAUUCCUUGGUAGUACUGGACCUCUAUGAUCUCCAUCUUUGUGUUAUUUCUAUCAUAAUGUACAGAAACUUUUCUUAUUACCUUUAUGGCUCUUUCCAGCUGUAGCUUUCUACUUUAAUAUUGUAAUAUCUACAACCAUUUCAUAUCAUGAGUGACUUGAAUAGGUUUGCACCAAAAGGAGAGGAAUGCUUGAUUUUAGAGCCAGUGUACAGUAAGGGAAAUACUUGUGCUAUCUAAUUGCUUGACUGGUAUGCUCCAGCUCAUUAACCUGAUGCAUUAGAUUGGUUAGAGAACAUAUCAUUAGCUAUUUUCAUUUUGGUUCACUCUUUAUUAAACAGCUGCACUGAGCUGAGGUGCAGAAGGUUAGUGGUGAUCUAGAGUAAUGCUUCUUCACAUGCUGUCCAGGCACCCCUGGUCUUCUGUAAGGCAUGAAAAAGUUGUACAAAAAGA
This is a non-coding RNA of Struthio camelus australis, 1973 nucleotides long. The record is from RefSeq and is a predicted model, not a curated record. Lineage: Eukaryota; Metazoa; Chordata; Aves; Struthioniformes; Struthionidae.